This is a long non-coding RNA of Ictalurus punctatus (channel catfish), 475 nucleotides long. NCBI's taxonomy places the organism in Eukaryota, Metazoa, Chordata, Actinopteri, Siluriformes, Ictaluridae. The record is from Ensembl.
CUAGACUUAGGCAACUUAAUUAGGAGACUCCAGACGAACUCCAUCACCACAUAAUUAUGAUGCUCUUCACUUCUGUCUUUGUGGCUUCAACAAGUGAGGACGUAAGAGGUAAACACAGUGGCAUGGGACCGAAUGUUUCCGCACGGUGUGGAGAGAUCAUGCAUCGUUCAAGCAAGUUGGGGCAAAGAGGUGUUAAGAGAACAUGGCACAAGACAUGGCACAAACAUCUCUGCCAGGCUCUGGAACAACAUGUUCUCUUACGAACUCGAGGAGAGUUUACACCUUCUGCAAUCAACAGAAAAUCCAGGUGGUCCUGCUACUCCAGUUUUCUGCAUCGCUCUCCCCCUCGAUUGGUCAGCGGACAGUCUCGGCUUUCUGCCGUUGGCUGGCGUCCAGACAGCGUUCCUUCCCCUCUGUGCUAUGGAUCCUGAAUCCUUGGCUUAUUCUGACUGAACACAUCGCCAACCAUCUGUGG